Long non-coding RNA from Musa acuminata AAA Group (dessert banana), 1078 nucleotides. RefSeq lists it as uncharacterized. The transcript is spliced from 3 exons. The record is from RefSeq and is a predicted model, not a curated record. Lineage: Eukaryota; Viridiplantae; Streptophyta; Magnoliopsida; Zingiberales; Musaceae.
CGCUUGUAAUUAUAUAAACUUGGGCUUUUAAUAUUCCGGCCCAUUUAAGACCUUCACGCGCGUCAGAAAGGAAUCGGCUCCUGUCCGUCGCACGACAUCCGUGUUGGGAACCUGAGGUUUUGUGUUCCUCGAGCGCACAAAGGUGCAAUCCCAUGGGCCUCAAAUCCCCAGAAGUGACUCCCAGUGCGUGCAAAUCCUGACUGCACUUCGUCUGCUAUGCAGAGGCCACCAGCUUUCCUUAUGCUCUCGUACACAGCAGGCAAGUAACCUGGUGCUAGUUCCACUACCCCACCCACACCCUGCCUCAAUUUGGAGUCAGCAUCAUGAGCAUACCACAUGCAGAUAUCACCAUCAGAAUGAUGUCUUAUACCUGUAUGGAUUCAGAAAUGAAACCUGCGACCUGACCAGACGUCCCGAAUUCGAUGAUUUCUUGCACAUCUCUGGCAUACUUCUCUCCAUCCGACCCAAAGGCUCCUCUGUAUGGGUCUGGAUUCAUCGCAUGAUGCACUCCACUCUGGCGGUGGAACAUCGAAGAAGCAGGAUGUUAGAGCGAGUUAUCAGCAGCGCGAGCUCGUUCGCUUCGGUGCCGGAGUUGGUGAAGAAGACGACCUGAAGACUACACUCGGGUUAAGCAUUCAAGACUGCUUCGUUGUGGAGUUCGAGUAGCGUUGCAGACCUUGAGAUCUCCGGGGAGCUUGGAAGCUAAAGCUUCUGCGAAAUCAGCGAUGGCGUGGUUCAGAUACACGACGGUGGAGUGCUGCAGACGGCUGGUCUGGCGGACGACGGCGUCGACGACGUCGGGGUGGCAAUGGCCGCAGCACACGGUGGCGAUGCCGGCGAAAGCGUCGAGGUAACGCCGCCCGUCCUGGUCGAACAGGUACUGCAUCUUCCCGUCCACGAUGUUCAGCUGCGGAAGAACACAACACGUGUCAAGAAUCAUCGAGGAAGAAUGGCUGCACGUAGCAAAGAAUGGCAGCAACAAAAUCCAAGAGGAAAUCCAUGCAUGCAUAGAAAAAGUCAAACUAUAUUGGUGGAUUUUGAUCUGCCAAGAACGAGCGUAUACAAUGGUUGACGAACA